CAUGUCUUUUUGAUAAUAAUUUAAGGUUUAAUCUGCUCAGUGAUUAUUGAUUAAAUUGCCGCGGUAAUUUGACUGUGCGAAGGUAGCGUGAUAAUUAGCUUAUUUAUUGUGGGCUUGUAUGAAUGAUUGGACAAGAAAUUUUCUGUCUCUUAUUAAUUUUUAUUUAAUUUUAUUUUUGAGUGAGAAAGCUUAAAUUUUUUUUAGGGACGAGAAGACCCUAUAGAGUUUAAUUUUUGGGUAAUUUUCACUUUUUGGCUUAUUUUUUGUGAUUGUUAUUAUUAAAUUUGGUUGGGGUGACUGGAAGAUUAAUUAAACUCUUUUUUAUUUAAUCAUUGAUUUUUGAUUUAUUAAUUUAUUUUUUUAAUUAUAAAUUUAAUUACCUUAGGGAUAACAGCGUGAUUUUUCUUUAAAGUUCAUAUUUAGGGAGAGUUUUGCGACCUCGAUGUUGGAUUAAAAUUAUUUUAAGGUGUAGUUGCUUUAAAUUGUAAGUCUGUUCGACUUUUAAUUUUUUACGUGAUCUGAGU
This 524-nucleotide ribosomal RNA is filed under the name Microcydistus minor. Its description in RNAcentral is "Cydistus minor partial large subunit ribosomal RNA". The stretch from base 387 to 524 matches the Rfam family "Bacterial large subunit ribosomal RNA", at positions 2473 to 2610 of the family's 2925-position model. Lineage: Eukaryota; Metazoa; Arthropoda; Insecta; Coleoptera; Phengodidae. The record is from RNAcentral.